CGAGUUGGCUGGGCGGCCGCGGCUCGGGCGGGUCCCACGGACCGGCGUCGAGUCGAGGAAAGUCCGGACUUCACAGAGCGGGGUGAUUGCUAACAGCAAUCCGAGGUGACUCGCGGGAAAGUGCCACAGAAAACAAACCGCCACCCCCGCGGUGGUAAGGGUGAAACGGUGCGGUAAGAGCGCACCAGCAUCCCGGGUGACCGGGAUGGCUAGGCAAACCCCACCCGAAGCAAGGCCAAGAAGGCCGCGCGAAAGUGCGGCCGCGCAGGCGUUCGAGGGUUGCUCGCCCGAGCCUGCGGGUAGGCCGCUUGAGGCACUCGGCAACGAUGCGCCCAGAUGGAUGGUCGCUGCCGCGCCGUCGUUGGCUAAACCUCGGCGGCGCGGAACAGAAUCCGGCUUACAGGCCAACUCGCCCG
Molecule: RNase P RNA, 416 nt
Filed under: Mycobacterium spongiae
Lineage: Bacteria; Bacillati; Actinomycetota; Actinomycetes; Mycobacteriales; Mycobacteriaceae
Description: Mycobacterium sp. FSD4b-SM Bacterial RNase P class A
Rfam family: Bacterial RNase P class A
About the family: Ribonuclease P (RNase P) is a ubiquitous endoribonuclease, found in archaea, bacteria and eukarya as well as chloroplasts and mitochondria. Its best characterised activity is the generation of mature 5'-ends of tRNAs by cleaving the 5'-leader elements of precursor-tRNAs. Cellular RNase Ps are ribonucleoproteins.
Source: Rfam by way of RNAcentral